GUGCCAGCAGCCGCGGUAAUACGUAGGGGCCUAGCGUUGUCCGGAAUUAUUGGGCGUAAAGAGCUCGUAGGCGGUUCGGCAAGUCGGAUGUGAAAUCUCCACGCUUAACGUGGAGGGGCCAUUCGAAACUGCUGUGACUCGAGUCCGGUAGGGGAGUGUGGAAUUCCCGGUGUAGCGGUGAAAUGCGCAGAUAUCGGGAGGAACACCAGUAGCGAAGGCGGCACUCUGGGCCGGUACUGACGCUGAGGAGCGAAAGCGUGGGGAGCGAACAGGAUUAGAUACCCUGGUAGUCC
This 293-nucleotide ribosomal RNA is filed under the name uncultured bacterium. RNAcentral describes it as "partial 16S ribosomal RNA". It matches the Rfam family "Bacterial small subunit ribosomal RNA", at positions 505 to 796 of the family's 1533-position model. The record is from RNAcentral.